Triticum aestivum (bread wheat) is the source of this 698-nucleotide long non-coding RNA. RefSeq lists it as uncharacterized. NCBI's taxonomy places the organism in Eukaryota, Viridiplantae, Streptophyta, Magnoliopsida, Poales, Poaceae. The transcript is spliced from 3 exons. The record is from RefSeq and is a predicted model, not a curated record.
CAUUCCCUGGCCGCGUGCCGGCCAUCUGCCUGCUCCCCUGGAGCAUAAAGUCCGACCCCACGACCCCCCAGGCGAACCCUAGCCCCCACUUGCCCUCCCCUCGCGCCGCUUCGCCCUCUCCCCCUCUGUCUUGUUUGCCUGAGCGCGGUCGCCGACGUGCCGCCGUCGAUCCCGCGGCCACCAACCAACGUUCGCUGCAUCGAUUAGUCCAGGAGGAUCGUCACCGUCGACUACGUCCGUCCAGAGCAUCAAUUCGAGCGGAGCCACCCUAUACGCUCACUAUCGACCUCAUUUCCACCGCGUACAUCCUCGUCGUCCGUGGUCAAUUGCCACCGCUCCGGUCCGUCCCCGACCUCUCCGAGCACAUCAUCUACCCCGUGUGUGAAGGGCCAUUUGGAAACAGACGAAUUGAGCAUUAUCCAUGGCUGGUACUUCUUUCACGCAGCUAGACUCCUCCCAAGAUUUGCACUCACAUGUGAUUUUUUUGUGUCUGCGCACAAAUUUUAUCCUGGAGUAAAAAUUUUGUGUGUCCUACAUGAUUAGUUGCAUGUAAGAUUUAUGGUGGAGUAAAGAUGAUUGAAGUUUAGUAGUAAUUGCCAAUAAACCAUUUUCUAAAACAAUAUGUAUUUCUUUUGCAAUCCAUACAAAUAAUAUCCAUGUAAGGAAGUAAGUGUUUGAGGCGGUUUUAACACUUUGCA